CGUUCUCUGUAAAAAUAGAGAAUAUGACCUGCCCUAUGUUUAACAUAAAUGGCCGCGGUACUCUGACCGUGCAAAGGUAGCGUAAUAACUUGCUUUCUAAUUAAAAGAUAGUUGAAUGGUUAAACGAGAGUUUGACUGUCUCAUUUUAAUACUAUAAAAACUAACCUUUAAGUGAAGAGGCUUAAAUAAAUAAAAAAGACGAGAAGACCCUGUCGAGCUUUAAAUAAAAUAACACUAUUAGCUUAUAUAUUUUUGAUUGGGGCAAUCCCGGAAUAAAACAAACUUCCGGAACUUAAUUAACACUAUAUUACAAACCAGAAUUUCUGAAAAUAAAACCAGUUACCGCAGGGAUAACAGCGUUAUUUUCUUUAAGAGCACAUAUCGAAAAGAAAGUUUGCGACCUCGAUGUUGGAUUAAGGAUACCGUUUAGGUGUAGAAGCUUACUACGGAAAUCUGUUCGAUUUUUAAUUCCU
RNAcentral lists this ribosomal RNA (473 nucleotides) under Pristigloma nitens. Its description in RNAcentral is "partial 16S ribosomal RNA". It matches the Rfam family "Bacterial large subunit ribosomal RNA", at positions 1817 to 2596 of the family's 2925-position model. The record is from RNAcentral. Lineage: Eukaryota; Metazoa; Mollusca; Bivalvia; Nuculanida sp.; Sareptidae.